RNAcentral lists this long non-coding RNA (453 nucleotides) under Elaeis guineensis (African oil palm). RNAcentral's name for it is "long non-coding RNA (EGUI_LNC032066)". The record is from RNAcentral. Lineage: Eukaryota; Viridiplantae; Streptophyta; Magnoliopsida; Arecales; Arecaceae.
UCGUGGCCAUUACGGUGGCCGCAGGAAGUGGAGCAGGCCUGUCGGCUGAAGCUCGGUUGAGGUAUCUGGCGGAGAUAGGCUGCUAUCCGUCUGAAAGGAGCUCGGAUGUUGCUGGCGAGCCUUCUACCGUUGGGUGCUUUGGGUGCUAAUACUGUAGGCGAGGGCCAUUUGCGGUAGGGGCUCGGUCAGAGGCUUUCCGUAGAAGAAGUUCGGUUUCACGCAGAAUUUGGCAGAGGAUCGACCGGCAGUGGGUGUCGGAUGGCGCUAAAGAGGUUCAUCCGCUAGAGGGGUCCGACUGCUGGAGUCCAUUUGUCGUAGGAGUUCGUUCGAAACCUGUCCGCUACAGAAGUUCGGUCAGGGUCCGAUCUCCAUAGAAGCCAGGAUGGGGUUCAUCUGUCGAGGAAACUCAGUUGAAGCCUGCGGUAGAAGCUUAGAGUCUGGCUUUUGUAGGAG